This 489-nucleotide ribosomal RNA is filed under the name uncultured bacterium. RNAcentral's name for it is "partial 16S ribosomal RNA". It matches the Rfam family "Bacterial small subunit ribosomal RNA", at positions 28 to 507 of the family's 1533-position model. The record is from RNAcentral.
GACGAACGCUGGCGGCGUGCUUAACACAUGCAAGUCGAACGGAAAGGCCCCCACCUUGGUGGGGGUGCUCGAGUGGCGAACGGGUGAGUAACACGUGGGUGAUCUGCCCUGUACUUCGGGUUAAGCUUGGGAAACUGGGUCUAAUACCGGAUAGGACCAUGGUUUAGUGUCUCAUGGUGGAAAAAUUAUUGUUUUGGUGCAGGAUGAGCUCGCGGCCUAUCAGCUUGUUGGUGGGGUAAUGGCCUACCAAGGCGUCGACGGGUAGCCGGCCUGAGAGGGUGGACGGCCACAUUGGGACUGAGAUACGGCCCAGACUCCUACGGGAGGCAGCAGUGGGGAAUAUUGCACAAUGGGCGCAAGCCUGAUGCAGCGACGCCGCGUGGGGGAUGACGGCCUUCGGGUGGUAAACUCCUUUCGUUAGGGACGAAGCCACACCUUUUUUGGGUGUGGUGACGGUACCUUUGUGAAGAAGCACCGGCUAACUACGUG